RNAcentral lists this ribosomal RNA (174 nucleotides) under uncultured Frankia sp. Its description in RNAcentral is "partial 16S ribosomal RNA". It matches the Rfam family "Bacterial small subunit ribosomal RNA", at positions 338 to 524 of the family's 1533-position model. The record is from RNAcentral. Lineage: Bacteria; Bacillati; Actinomycetota; Actinomycetes; Frankiales; Frankiaceae.
CCUACGGGAGGCAGCAGUGAGGAAUCUUCCGCAAUGGGCGAAAGCCUGACGGAGCGACGCCGCGUGGGGGAUGAAGGCCCUCGGGUUGUAAACCCCUUUCGGCAGGGACGAAGCGAAAGUGACGGUACCUGCAGAAGAAGUCCCGGCUAACUACGUGCCAGCAGCCGCGGUAAU